GCAUAUCAAUAAGCGGAGGAAAAGAAAAUAACAAUGAUUCCCUUAGUAACGGCGAGUGAAGGGGGAUAAGCUCAAAUUUUAAAUCUGCUAGGUUUUACCUGUCAGAGUUGUAUUUUGAAGAAGCGUUUUCCGCGUCUCGGUUGACCCAAGUCCUUUGGGAUAAGGUAUCAUGGAGGGUGAGAAUCCCGUCCGGUUGACCUUAUGACGCUUUACGAUACGUUUUCAAAGAGUCGAGUUGUUUGGGAUUGCAGCUCAAAAUGGGAGGUAAAUUUCUCCUAAGGCUAAAUAUUGGCGAGAGACCGAUAGCGAACAAGUACCGUGAGGGAAAGAUGAAAAGAACUUUGAAAAGAGAGUAAAAUAGUACGUGAAAUUGUUGAAAGGGAAACGAUUGAAGUCAGUCGUACCGACGAGAAAUCAGCUCUUUGAGUGCGAACUUGUAGGCGUGCGUGAGCUUUACGGUCUCGCUGUUUGCAAUGUUUGUUCUUUUUGGGUGUACUUUUUCGUAUGGUAGGCCAACAUCAGUUUCGAAUAUCAUAAAAUGACCGGAGGAAUGUAGCUUCGAUCUCGUAUUGAAGUGUUAUAGCCUUUGGUAGAUGUGGUGUUUGGGACUGAGGAUUGCAACGAAUAUCCUUUGGGCUAUCCGUCUGAUCUCUGAAAGUUGCUUAGGUGCCGAAAGCGUGCUUACGGUUAUUUAAGUUGACGGUCAAAAGGUUAGAACGUGAUUACAUUCGUUAAGGAUGUUGACGUA
Molecule: ribosomal RNA, 748 nt
Filed under: uncultured Glomerales
Lineage: Eukaryota; Fungi; Glomeromycota; Glomeromycetes; Glomerales; Glomeraceae
Description: LSU rRNA
Rfam family: Eukaryotic large subunit ribosomal RNA
Source: RNAcentral